RNAcentral lists this ribosomal RNA (502 nucleotides) under uncultured bacterium. Its description in RNAcentral is "partial 16S ribosomal RNA". It matches the Rfam family "Bacterial small subunit ribosomal RNA", at positions 29 to 507 of the family's 1533-position model. The record is from RNAcentral.
AGCGAACGCUGGCGGCGUGCCUAACACAUGCAAGUCGAACGUGAAAGGGAGCAAUCCCAAGUAAAGUGGCGUACGGGUGAGUAACACGUAGGUAAUCUACCCCAGAAUCUGGAAUAACCGGCCGAAAGGCUGGCUAAUACUGGAUAGAGCGACGGAAUCCGUAAUUGGGUUUUUCGGGAAAGGGAGCCUGUAAAAAGGCCUUCGUUCUGGGAUGAGCCUGCGUCCCAUCAGCUAGUUGGUGAGGUAAAAGCUUACCAAGGCAAUGACGGGUAGCUGGUCUGAGAGGACGAUCAGCCACACUGGAACUGAAACCCGGUCCAGACCCCUACGGGAGGCAGCCGUGGGGAAUCUUGCGCAAUGGACGAAAGUCUGACGCAGCAACGCCGCGUGAGUGAAGAAGGCCUUCGGGUUGUAAAGCUCUGUCGAGUGGGACGAAAAUGCUUGGAGUUCAAAGCUCCAGGAACUGACGGUACCACUAAAGGAAGCACCGGCUAACUCCGUG